RNAcentral lists this ribosomal RNA (200 nucleotides) under uncultured bacterium. Its description in RNAcentral is "partial 16S ribosomal RNA". It matches the Rfam family "Bacterial small subunit ribosomal RNA", at positions 28 to 229 of the family's 1533-position model. The record is from RNAcentral.
GAUGAACGCUGGCGGCGUGCCUAACACAUGCAAGUCGAACGUUAGGAUUUAGCAAUAAAUCCAAAAGUGGCGAACGGGUGAGUAACACGUAGGUAACCUGCCGCGCAGAGGGGGAUAACGACUGGAAACGGUCGCUAAUACCGCAUGGUACUAAGCGCAAUGGGAUGCGCUUGGUUAAAACUUUGGUGCUGCGCGAGGGG